Molecule: long non-coding RNA, 708 nt
Organism: Dermacentor silvarum
Lineage: Eukaryota; Metazoa; Arthropoda; Arachnida; Ixodida; Ixodidae
Exons: 3
Source: RefSeq, a predicted model, not a curated record
CGUGCAUUACGGACGUUCCAAAGUUAUAUAUAUUCCUAACAAGUGUAAAAACAAACCAAACUAUAUGUCAACACUGAUGUUGAAGGGAGGUUCACACUUACUGUCUCGAGUUGCAUAGCCUAAUUUUCAGCUUACACGCAUCACUGCAAUAAUUCUAAAAUGCGUGCAUGUGUUGUAAGUUAUGCAGGGCAAAAUUUUUGUCAGCUCAUUUUUCUAAUAGAAAGUCCUUCAUAAAGUUUUUUUUGCAAAAAGUUAAACGAGGCCAUUAGCACUUUAUAAAAUACUGUGAGCUAUCUCACAGCAAUAACAGUAACUCAGUGACGAGCUUAUAUGCAAUAGUGUAAUUGUAUAUAAAAAUGUUUGUGCUUUGCUUUGGAUGACCGGUCAGAAAGUAACUGAUAUCAGUAUUUCAUUUGCAGCUGUUGCACCAGUGAAGGAUGUCUGUGUGCCGCCUUGCAUUCAGUUUCUCAGUCAUGGGGGCCUGCUUGCAACUCCAGUGGCAAAGCAGUCUUGCAUUGUGCUAUUUGUUCUGGAAGGACACAAGCAUUGAGGAGCCAUUUGACCUGCCACUACACUGAUACGGUAUUUGGCAAAGGCAGGAGGCAUCUGCAAGCAACCAAUCAUUCCGAUUCUCAACCAAUCCUUCUAGUCAGCCCAUUUCUAGUGUCUUAUCUUGCAAGUUUUUUUCAGUAAAGCACAAUAAACACG